RNAcentral lists this ribosomal RNA (451 nucleotides) under uncultured bacterium. Its description in RNAcentral is "partial 16S ribosomal RNA". It matches the Rfam family "Bacterial small subunit ribosomal RNA", at positions 354 to 796 of the family's 1533-position model. The record is from RNAcentral.
GUGGGGAAUAUUGGACAAUGGGGGGAACCCUGAUCCAGCCAUGCCGCGUGUGUGAAGAAGGCCUUUUGGUUGUAAAGCACUUUAAGCGAGGAGGAGGCUACCGAGAUUAAUACUCUUGGAUAGUGGACGUUACUCGCAGAAUAAGCACCGGCUAACUCUAUGCCAGCAGCCGCGGUAAUACAGAGGGUGCAAGCGUUAAUCGGAUUUACUGGGCGUAAAGCGCGCGUAGGUGGCCAAUUAAGUCAAAUGUGAAAUCCCCGAGCUUAACUUGGGAAUUGCAUUCGAUACUGGUUGGCUAGAGUAUGGGAGAGGAUGGUAGAAUUCCAGGUGUAGCGGUGAAAUGCGUAGAGAUCUGGAGGAAUACCGAUGGCGAAGGCAGCCAUCUGGCCUAAUACUGACACUGAGGUGCGAAAGCAUGGGGAGCAAACAGGAUUAGAUACCCCGGUAGUCC